RNAcentral lists this transfer RNA (75 nucleotides) under Promethearchaeota archaeon. Its description in RNAcentral is "Candidatus Lokiarchaeota archaeon tRNA-Arg". It matches the Rfam family "tRNA". From Rfam's summary of the family: Transfer RNA (tRNA) molecules are approximately 80 nucleotides in length. Their secondary structure includes four short double-helical elements and three loops (D, anti-codon, and T loops). Further hydrogen bonds mediate the characteristic L-shaped molecular structure. tRNAs have two regions of fundamental functional importance: the anti-codon, which is responsible for specific mRNA codon recognition, and the 3' end, to which the tRNAs corresponding amino acid is attached (by aminoacyl-tRNA synthetases). tRNAs cope with the degeneracy of the genetic code in two manners: having more than one tRNA (with a specific anti-codon) for a particular amino acid; and 'wobble' base-pairing, i.e. permitting non-standard base-pairing at the 3rd anti-codon position. Lineage: Archaea; Promethearchaeati; Promethearchaeota. The record is from RNAcentral.
GGAUCCGUUGCCCAGCCAGGAUAAGGCACUGCCCUCCUAAGGCAGUGAUCGCAGGUUCGAAUCCUGCCGGAUCCG